RNAcentral lists this ribosomal RNA (253 nucleotides) under uncultured bacterium. RNAcentral's name for it is "partial 16S ribosomal RNA". It matches the Rfam family "Bacterial small subunit ribosomal RNA", at positions 524 to 776 of the family's 1533-position model. The record is from RNAcentral.
UACAGAGGGGGCAAGCGUUGUUCGGAAUUACUGGGCGUAAAGGGCGCGUAGGCGGCCUUCUAAGUCGAACGUGAAAUCCCUGGGCUCAACCCAGGAACUGCGUCCGAUACUGGAAGGCUUGAAUCCGGGAGAGGGAUGCGGAAUUCCAGGUGUAGCGGUGAAAUGCGUAGAUAUCUGGAGGAACACCGGUGGCGAAGGCGGCAUCCUGGACCGGUAUUGACGCUGAGGCGCGAAAGCCAGGGAAGCAAACGGG